Non-coding RNA from Collariella sp. IMI 366227, 82 nucleotides. The record is from the annotation of a GenBank genome assembly. NCBI's taxonomy places the organism in Eukaryota, Fungi, Ascomycota, Sordariomycetes, Sordariales, Chaetomiaceae.
GCCUGAUUAGCACAGUGGUAAUGCGUUGCACUCGUAUCUGCUAGAAAUGCAAAGAUCACUGGUUCGAUUCCAGUAUCAGGCA